This 498-nucleotide ribosomal RNA is filed under the name uncultured bacterium. RNAcentral's name for it is "partial 16S ribosomal RNA". It matches the Rfam family "Bacterial small subunit ribosomal RNA", at positions 30 to 523 of the family's 1533-position model. The record is from RNAcentral.
AUUGAACGCUGGCGGCAUGCCUUACACAUGCAAGUCGAACGGUAACAGGUCUUCGGAUGCUGACGAGUGGCGAACGGGUGAGUAAUACAUCGGAACGUGCCUAGUAGUGGGGGAUAACUACUCGAAAGAGUGGCUAAUACCGCAUGAGAUCUACGGAUGAAAGCAGGGGAUCGCAAGACCUUGUGCUACUAGAGCGGCCCAUGGCAGAUUAGGUAGUUGAUGGGAUAAAAGCUUACCAAGCCGACGAUCUGUAGCUGGUCUGAGAGGACGAUCAGCCACACUGGGUCUGAGACACGGCCCAGACUCCUACGGGAGGCAGCAGUGGGGAAUUUUGGACAAUGGGCGAAAGCCUGAUCCAGCAAUGCCGCGUGCAGGAUGAAGGCCUUCGGGUUGUAAACUGCUUUUGUACGGAACGAAAAGCCCUGGGUUAAUACCCUGGGGUCAUGACGGUACCGUAAGAAUAAGCACCGGCUAACUACGUGCCAGCCGCCGCCGUAA